AGCAGCCGCGGUAAUUCCAGCUCCAAUAGCGUAUAUUAAAGUUGUUGCAGUUAAAAAGCUCGUAGUUGAACUUCAGGCCUGUCCAGAUGGUCCGCCUUAAUUGGUGUGUACUGUCCUUGGGUGGGUCCUACCUUCUGGCGAAGCGGCAUGGCCUUAGUUGGUUGUGUUGGGGAACCAGGACUUUUACUGUGAAAAAAAUUAGAGUGUUCAAAGCAGGCAUAUAUGCUCGAAUACAUUAGCAUGGAAUAAUGGAAUAGGACGAUGGUUCUAUUUUGUUGGUUCUAGGACCGUUGUAAUGAUUAAUAGGGAUAGUUGGGGGCAUUAGUAUUCAAUUGUCAGAGGUGAAAUUCUUGGAUUUAUUGAAGACUAACUACUGCGAAAGCAUUUGCCAAGGAUGUUUUCAUUAAUCAAGAACGAAAGUUAGGGGAUCGAAGACGAUCAGAUACCGUCGUAGUCUUAACCAUAAACUAUGCCGACUAGGAAUCGGGCGAUGUUGACAAAAUGACUCGCUC
This 512-nucleotide ribosomal RNA is filed under the name uncultured Paraglomus. Its description in RNAcentral is "bacterial SSU rRNA". It matches the Rfam family "Eukaryotic small subunit ribosomal RNA", at positions 569 to 1081 of the family's 1831-position model. Lineage: Eukaryota; Fungi; Glomeromycota; Glomeromycetes; Paraglomerales; Paraglomeraceae. The record is from RNAcentral.